Molecule: ribosomal RNA, 191 nt
Filed under: Halobacillus sp. SA-Hb6
Lineage: Bacteria; Bacillati; Bacillota; Bacilli; Caryophanales; Bacillaceae
Description: partial 16S ribosomal RNA
Rfam family: Bacterial small subunit ribosomal RNA
Source: RNAcentral
UCGCUAGUAAUCGCGGAUCAGCAUGCCGCGGUGAAUACGUUCCCGGGCCUUGUACACACCGCCCGUCACACCACGAGAGUUGGCAACACCCGAAGUCGGUGAGGUAACCUUUUUGGAGCCAGCCGCCGAAGGUGGGGCCAAUGAUUGGGGUGAAGUCGCAACAAGGUAGCCGUAUCGGAAGGUGCGGCUGG